UGCCCCGCGGGUCCAGCCCCUCCUGGCCGAGGUCCCGGGAGAAGGUGGGGAUGGCCUCCAGGUGGUCGAGUAUCUGCACCAUGUCCUCCUUGCCGUAGCUCACGAGCUCCUCGCUGCUCCUGGGCCAGGCGGCCAGGUCGAACACCUGGCAGGCCUUCACGAAGAUCCGGCUGCGGGAGUCGAACCUCUGGGCCAGGAUGACCUGGGUCUUCUGGCAGAUCUUCUCCCUGAUGGACUGGAACUUGGCCUCGGCCACCCUGAGGUUCUUCACGGCGAUCCCGUUGAAGCUCUCCCGGAAGUUCUCCUCGAACUCCUGGAGGUACUCCCCCGGGGAGUCGGCCAGCCGGCUGAUCUCCUGGAUGGCCUCCUCGAUCUUGUCRUCCACCUGGGACACCAGCAGGUACUCGCCCUGGAAGACGUAGGCCAGGCGCGAGAGGACGGCGAUCACGUCCAGCAGGAAGUAGAUGAGCUUGACCGACUGAUAGUCCAUGAGGAACUGCAGCAGGGCCAGGGCGAUGGCCGAGGCGUCCGCCCGCUGCGUCUGGCUGCUGACGUCCUUGAGGUGGGCCACCACCUCCAGGUAGUCCUUGAUGAGGGCGUUGAGGACGUUCUGCUCCCCGAUGACCCAGCGCACGGCCCGGAUGUCCCCCAGGAACUCGGUCUCCUCGCAGAGGGUGGCGGCCGUGGAGCGCAGCUCGCACAGGAGCCGGGGCGAGUAGCGGUAGAAGCUCAGCAGCUGCUUCAGGUUGUUCUCCAGCUCCUCCAGGCAGGGCAGCUCCUUCCCRCUGAUGGCGUCCAGGAUCUCCAGGUGGGGCCGGUGCACCAUGAAGGGCAGGCACAGCAGCCAGGGCAGCGUCUUGCGGAUGGUCAUGAACAUGCUGGCCCGCAGGCUGGCCGUGAUGUUGGCCCCGUCCACUCCCAAGCCGACCGUGGGCUUCUCGUCCUGCAGCCGGAUGCCCAGGGUGGUGAAGGCCCGGUCCAGCGCCUGGAGGUAGCUCUCUGUGCUGGAGAAGCCCAGCUCCUGCAGGGACAGGAACUCCGUGGCCGGGGGCCCGUCGCUGCUGGUGUACUGGACGUACACGGCCACCGUGUCGGCCAGCAGGUCGUCGCUCUGCCCGUCCAAGAUGAUGCUGAGGCACGGGGACUGGCGGAUGCGCUCCACCAGGUCCUCCCGCAGCGCCCGGGCGAUGUGGUGGACGAGCACCUGGCAGUCGCCCUCGUUCAUGUACUGGUCCACCACCUUGAGCUCACACUUCCUCAGCAGCUCGGCCAGCGGCCGGAAGUCCAGGUAGGGCCUGCCCUCGAGGGCCAGGUGGUAGGCGGUGUUGAAGAGCAGGGUCAUGUUGCGGCACAUCUCCUCCGUCUUCUCGGGGUGCAUGCGGAGCUUGUAGAGCUGCAGGCACUUCUUGUGCAGGUUGCUCUGGCUGUGCAGCUUGAUGGUGUGGAUCUUGAACUGCUUGGAGCCGAUGAUGAAGGCCGAGGUGCGGGAGGACUGCACCGUGUACUGGCG
Molecule: long non-coding RNA, 1510 nt
Filed under: Urocitellus parryii (Arctic ground squirrel)
Lineage: Eukaryota; Metazoa; Chordata; Mammalia; Rodentia; Sciuridae
Description: lncRNA (ENSUPAG00010008794.1)
Source: RNAcentral